This 72-nucleotide transfer RNA is filed under the name Camelus bactrianus (Bactrian camel). It matches the Rfam family "tRNA". Rfam says of the family: Transfer RNA (tRNA) molecules are approximately 80 nucleotides in length. Their secondary structure includes four short double-helical elements and three loops (D, anti-codon, and T loops). Further hydrogen bonds mediate the characteristic L-shaped molecular structure. tRNAs have two regions of fundamental functional importance: the anti-codon, which is responsible for specific mRNA codon recognition, and the 3' end, to which the tRNAs corresponding amino acid is attached (by aminoacyl-tRNA synthetases). tRNAs cope with the degeneracy of the genetic code in two manners: having more than one tRNA (with a specific anti-codon) for a particular amino acid; and 'wobble' base-pairing, i.e. permitting non-standard base-pairing at the 3rd anti-codon position. The record is from Rfam by way of RNAcentral. RNAcentral also lists the same sequence under 3 other names. Lineage: Eukaryota; Metazoa; Chordata; Mammalia; Artiodactyla; Camelidae.
GUGGGUGUAGCUCAGGGGUAGAGUGUGUGCUUAGCAUGCACAAGGUCCUGGGUUCAAUCCCCAGUACCUCCA